This 253-nucleotide ribosomal RNA is filed under the name uncultured bacterium. RNAcentral describes it as "partial 16S ribosomal RNA". It matches the Rfam family "Bacterial small subunit ribosomal RNA", at positions 524 to 776 of the family's 1533-position model. The record is from RNAcentral.
UACGUAGGGGGCGAGCGUUGUCCGGAAUCAUUGGGCGUAAAGCGCGUGUAGGCGGCUCGAUAAGUCCGGUGUGAAACCUUGGGGCUCAACCCCAAGCCUGCACUGGAUACUGCCGAGCUAGAGUCCGGGAGGGGAGAGCGGAAUUCCUAGUGUAGUGGUGAAAUACGUAGAGAUUGGGAAGAACACCAGUGGCGAAGGCGGCUAUCUGGACGGUUUCUGACGCUAAGACGCGAAAGCGUGGGGAGCAAACAGG